Molecule: long non-coding RNA, 1778 nt
Organism: Salarias fasciatus (jewelled blenny)
Lineage: Eukaryota; Metazoa; Chordata; Actinopteri; Blenniiformes; Blenniidae
Source: Ensembl
UCCCCAGCAGGCUGGCUUUACGCCCAAUCACUCCACAGUCGACCACAUCUCUGCCGUACGUCUGCUGAUAGAGAAGACCCGUGGAUUCCAUAAAGACCGCCAUCUGUAUAACGGAUUCAUGGAUCUGAAGCCGCCUUCGACACCGUCUGCCACUCCUCUCUGUGGAACAUCCUCCAAACCCUCGGAGCUCCGCCCAAGACCACCGCUGUGUUCCAGCUGCUCUGCAGCAGAGAGCUGAGUCCGUAUGAACGGUCUGACUCCAGCUGGUUCACCGUCUCCAGCGGCGUUCUCCAGGGCCGUGUGGCUCCUGAUCUUUUAACUGCAUCAUGGACCGUCUGAGGUCCCGGGUCUGCAGGCGUCCCCGGAGCGUCCUUCAACAGCGACCACCUGACGGACCUGGAACACGCUGACGACCCCAUCCUGCUCAGACAGCCUGCAGUCAGCUGAGACGCUCUGGCUUCACCGUGAGGAGGAGCACAGCUCGGCUCCAGGGGAGCUGGACUGAAACCAGGUCCAUGCAUGUCGGUGAUGGACCAGAUCCACCUCCCAUGGAGCAGAUCCUCCUCCCAUGGACCAGAUCCACCUCCCAUGGACCAGAUCCACCUCCCAUGGACCAGAUCCUCCUCCCAUGGACCAGAUCCUCCUCCCAUGGACCAGAUCCACCUCCCAUGGACCAGAUCCUCCUCCCAUGGACCAGAUCCAGAUCCCAUGGACCAGAUCCUCCUCCCAUUAACCAGAUCCAGAUCCCAUGGACCAGAUCCUCCUUCCAUGGACCAGAUCCAGAUCCCAUUGACCAGAUCCACCUCCCAUGGACCAGAUCCUUCUCCCAUGGACCAGAUCCUUCUCCCAUGGACCAGAUCCUCCUUCCAUGGACCAGAUCCUUCUCCCAUGGACCAGAUCCUUCUCCCAUGGACCAGAUCCUUCUCCCAUGGACCAGAUCCUCCUCCCAUGGACCAGAUACUCCUCCCAUGGACCAGAUCCACCUCCCAUGGACCAGAUCCACCUCCCAUGCAAACCGGGAGCGACAUCGUGGAGCCUGUCAAGAACUUUGUGUCUCUGGGGUCCACGGUGACAGACAGCAGGACCUAGAACCAGAGAUUGACCGCAGACGAGUCCUGGCAGCCUCUGCUCUGCAGUCCCUCUGGAACCACUCUGGAUCCAGACCGUCUCACCAAGACCAAGCUCCGGGUCUACAGCCCGGCCGUCCUCUCCGUCCUGCUGUAUGGCUCAGAAACGAGGCCCCUGAACCACAGUCUGGCUCUGAUAGCAGGACUCUGAGAACCAUGGACAACAUCAGGACUCUGAGGACCAUGGAGAACAUCAGGACUCUGAGGACCAUGGAGAACAUCAGGACUCUGAGGACCAUGGAGAACAUCAGGACUCUGAGGACCAUGGAGAACACCAGGACUCUGAGGACCAUGGAGAACAUCAGGACUCUGAGAACCAUGGAGAACAUCAGGACUCUGAGGACCAUGGAGAACACCAGGCGGCCCAGCCAGUCUCCAGUGAAGGUCUCAGAGCCAGGCCAGCCCCGAGCAUCUUCCCUGGUCGCACAGCGCCGCCCUGCUGGCUGGACCACGUCCUCCGUCCCCCCCCAGAACAUCCGACAAGAGACGUUCUCCAGUUCGACCCGAAGCCCUCAGGCUGGAGACGACUACGAGGGAACCCCGGACCUGAUGGCUCCGCCCCCUCCAGCAACACGGAGCUGCUGAGGAGGAACAGAGCAGCUGGUUCACCUGGUUCACCUGGUUCACCUGGUUCACCUGGUUCACCUGGUC